This 3671-nucleotide unclassified non-coding RNA is filed under the name Hevea brasiliensis (rubber tree). The record is from RNAcentral. Lineage: Eukaryota; Viridiplantae; Streptophyta; Magnoliopsida; Malpighiales; Euphorbiaceae.
CCUCUUUGUACCCUAGCUCUUUAAUCCUUUUUGUGAUUCGGAGCAUAUCAGAAUCAACUAAAGAUGAGACCGAUUUUGAUGAAAGGGCAUGAAAGGCCCUUAACGUUUUUGAAGUAUAAUAGAGAAGGUGAUCUUUUGUUCUCCUGCGCUAAAGACCACACUCCCACCGUCUGGUUCGCCGACGACGGCGAGCGUUUUGGUACUUACCGCGGUCACAACGGCGCCGUUUGGUGCUGCGAUGUCUCAAGAGAUUCGAUGCGCCUUAUUACUGGGAGUGCAGACCAGACAGCAAAGCUGUGGGAUGUUCAAACUGGAACUCAAUUGUACUCCUUUAAUUUUGAUUCGCCUGCCAGGGCUGUGGACUUCUCUGUUGGUGAUAAACUUGCUGUUAUCACCACUGAUCCUUUUAUGGAAUCGCCUUCUGCCAUUCAUGUAAAACGCAUUGCAAGAGAUCCCAGUGACCUUAAGUUUUUUUAUGCUAUUUUUUGUCUCUUUUUGUGAUGGAUGUGCUUCAUUUUCUGUGUUUCAUGUUGUUCAAAUUCACUUAAAUUUAGUAGGAUUCCGCCUUAUUUACCAUGCGAUUUGGAUGCAUACCAGUGCUGAUAUAAUGGAUUAUGCAUUGUUUUCCCUCUCCCCUACACGUUCUAUGUUUCUUUCUAAUUCAAGAAAAAUGGAGAGUGAAAUGCUCUUAUGUUUUCACUUGUUCAUGUUGUUGAAUAAAUUGUAUGCAGAUAAAUGAAGAUAUAACUAUCUGCGCAUCUAGUCUUAUAAAAACUUGAAUUGCAAAGCUGAUGAUCUUCUUAUCAUAUAAUAACACUGUAGCUGAUGAUCUUAUCAUAUAAUAAUGCUAUAGUACUUGUGAAGCAUGAAUUUUCGGUCAUCUUACAUUGGCUUUUCCAUGGACCAACGCAAAAGUUCUUUCCCGCUUUGGUCUGUUCAUUCCCAACUGAAUUUUAUAUUUUCUUUUGAUUAUUUAAUAAUUUGCAUUGCUUGUGCUGAGUUGUUAGAAUGCACUUUAGAUUCCAGGGUAGAUAAUUAGAAAUCAUUUUACAAGAUUUUUUUAGUAAAAACCUCUAUAUAGGUGUGUGUAUGUGUGUGCAAGAUUGGGGGUUUCUGAUUUUGUUUGAAGACGUAUCAAGGGUAUGACGUAGAGUUUUUAAGUUAUUAUAUUAGCGUUAAUAACAUAAGUGAUGAAAUAUAUAUGAUGCAACUUGUUCGGUUGCAUAACAGAGGCCAUCCCUAAUAUCUCAUAACUAUUUUUUAUCCAUGCCAAGCUCAGACAUCAUGCACUCUCACAAACAUGUAUUAUUGUAUCUGUAUGUAUGAAUUUAUUUAUUAUAAUAUAGAUGCCAAACUUGUUUACUUAUUAUUGGAUUUUCACAAUCCUUGUGUUGUGCUCUUUGUUGUUUAUACUAGGAAAUUUUUAUGUGUAGUUUCCUGCCUAUCUAAAUUUGUUGUUGUAUCAUUUUCAGAGACUGGUGAAUCUGUGCUUAUUCUAAGGGGACCUCAGGGAAGAAUAAACAGAGCUAUUUGGGGACCCCUGAACAAGACUAUCAUAAGUGCUGGAGAGGAUGCUGUAAUUCGCAUAUGGGAUUCUGAGACUGGAAAGCUUCUGAAAGAGUCAGAUCGGGAAAUUGGGCAUAAGAAGACAAUAACAUCACUUACAAAGUCUUCUCACUUCCUCUCUGGUUCUCUAGAUAAGUCUGCUAAGCUAUGGGACAUCAGAACAUUAACUCUCAUCAAGACAUAUGUGACAGAAUGUCCGGUCAAUGCUGUUACAAUGUCUCCUCUUCUCGAUCAUGUAAGUGUAAAUGUAUCAUCGACUAUCUUACUUAUGUGAUAUUGGAGCAAUUUUUUUCAUUAUUUUGUCACAGGUGGCAUAACAGACAAUUAUGCUGAUUAUGAAAGUUUUGAAAAUUUUCUAUUUGAAAGGCCAUUACACCCCACCCCCCUUCUCUUCCUUGUUUUUCUACUCUCCUUUAUGUCUUCAUUUUUUUUCUUGUGCUAUAUCUGGUUUGUGAGUAUGACCUUUAUCUCUGAUUAAAUAUUGUGAUGAGUAUGCUAACUUGUCUCAAUAAUGAAAAAUGGUUUAGUUGUCGAAGUAGUGGUUUGUUGGAAUACAUAUGUUGUUAUUGUUUCGAAUUUGAAUUUAUUUGAGUGAACAAUCUUUGAAGAUCAAAAUAUGUAUCCAGGUCAAAGUAAUCUGAACAUUUCCAUCUUUUAUAAUUUGGAGAUUGAAUUAUUCAUGUUAACUUAAAGUGGCUUCAAAGUCAAAUUUGUGAAUCAACCUAUGCAAGAAUGAUUGAUGGGCAGCCUUCAAGGUUCUCACAGUGGCAAUAUAUAUGUACAUGGUUUUUUCCUGGGGAUUUGACUAUGCAUAUGAAAAGAAAAAAAGAAUGCUUUCUAGAAGGAAAGUGCACGUUAUUUUUUUUUUAAUGUGCUGCGUGGUUAGGCAUUUAAGCUGGCGGAUGAGGACCGUUGUAUAGUGUAGGGGUAAGGGGGUGUGCCUGAUGCCAAGAGGUUGGAGGUUCUAGGCCCAAGGACAGCCAAUUAGUGCACAUGUGCCAAAGGGUAGGGGAUUUUCUCCAGCCUUCCUUUAUAGGAUUCACUGGUUAAUGUCUUGUAUAUUGAUUAAUAUUGGCUGCAGUCAAAUGAAUGUAGAUGACAUUAUAAGCUGAUUAAAUAUCUCAAGCAUCAUUUUAUUCCAUUUAUUUUCUUUGUUCCUUCACAUAAUUUUGCUUGGAAGCUGCCCUUUUGCUCUGCAGGUUGUGCUUGGAGGUGGUCAGGAUGCUUCAGCUGUCACUACCACUGAUCACCGUGCUGGGAAGUUUGAAGCCAAAUUUUAUGACAAGGUUAUAUUUCAUGCUCAUGACAUUUCUUUGUAAUGUGAAGGUUUAUGAUUGUUUAACUUGUUGAAUGCAUGUUUUUUGACUUUCCUUCUUUAGAUUCUUCAGGAAGAAAUUGGAGGUGUGAAAGGUCAUUUUGGACCUAUAAAUGCUUUGGCUUUCAACCCUGAUGGGAAAAGGUAUAGUUUUCUGUUAUCUUUGUAUGUUAAUAUAGUAGUUGCUGGUGCCUCAGUGAAAAAUUCGUAAAAUCAACAUGGCCACUGUUGCAUGAUAUCCUUUCAUAGAGUUUGUAGAUGAUUAUGAGUUUUGCAGUAAAACAUAUAUCAACCAAAAUCCAAGUAUGCAACGCUGAAUUUUUCCUGCAUGUUAAUCUGGAACCAUAUGUUUGCCUGAAUGAUGUUAAAGCUGACAUACUGUUAAAUGUUUUAGUUCUUAUUUAUAUUUUGCACUUACGGUUUUGUAGUUUCUCAAGUGGAGGUGAAGAUGGGUACGUGAGGUUACAUCACUUUGAUCCAGAUUGCUUCAAUAUUAAGAUUUAGAUUUGGCAUACGUAUUUGUAUUAGAAAAGGAAUCAUUUUGGGAGAAGAUAGAAAAGCAUUUUGGCAUUUUUGUGUCAGAGGAGCAUAGUGUAACAAAAUACUCUAUUUAUGCAAAUAAUAACCAUUUUAUUGUGUAAGAAUUCCAUACCUUGCAAAUUUUUCUGGGGGCAUCAGUAAAAACACAUCGUUUGCCCAAUGUAUUAUUUUUCUAUUAUUUUACAAGCUUUGGAUUGGAAUGUGUAGUUGACUUGCCUAGUUUUUGACUCAACAACUAUCAAUGAAGGGG